CUGUACAGGAUCAAGUGAAAAAAAGAAUGUUGGUUUACUUCCUUAUCCACAUAAAGCUUCGUCUUGUUGCAUCUGGAAUAGUUCUGAAAUGUGUCCUUUUGGUUCAUCUGUAUGACGAGGGGGAUGUUUUCCUCCGGGAACACACGGCUCGAGCUGGCACGGCAGGACAGCAACAGGCACGGAUAUUCCCAUGAUAGAAAUCAGUCAACAUGUGCAGUCUGUCAGAUUAACAGGACCCACGUGGGCAAUCGCCGGUAGGGGAAGAGCUGCGAGCAAAUUAAAUGCACAUGAGGUCAAAGGGAUCAGUGGUUUCUCCACGAGUUAUGUUAAUGUUGAUUUAACAAAUUAGAGGACGUGACUCUGGGCUGAAGGUCGACUUUAUAUGCAGGAACACAUCAUGAUUCUUAUUAUUAUCUUAUUAUUAUUAUUAUUAGACCUUAUAGGAACAUAAAAGUUCCCAUUGACAUUUAUGCACUUUUACUACUAACUUGAUUUAAAGUUCUUUUAAGAAAUUCCUAGAUGUUAUUACACUCAGAAGGUCUUCUAAUCGCGAAUUUCUGAGGGGUUAAAAAAAAGUUUAGUGUAGGUUUUGCCAGCAGCUGUCAGCUGCAUAUUCUCAGUCCACAGCAUCACAUGGGAUCAUACUGCGUAGGAUGGAGCAGAUGGAUGCAGGCACUUUAGCUAAAGCCUCGUGGUGUCACAGCACACUAUACAUUUGGCCACAUGGAUUGGAUCAACUCAUCUCCGUGUCAUCCUGCUGAUCCUGCAUCCGAUGGGAGGGGGGAACAUGAACAGAAUAAUCACAGAAAAGGAAGUGCUGGAUUCCAGUCUCUUAACAUAAAGCUGCCAUUACACCUGUGGGCCAAAACUUAGCACUACGGCCUGCCAGGGGGCAGCCAGCCAGGCAGUCUUUUCAACACUCAUGGUGCUCAAGCUCUAAGGGUUCUUCAGCCAAGUUGUGCCCUUUGAGCGUCUCCCAUGCCGAGCAGUCUCACCCGAAGAUGAAUCACCAAGGCGAUGCCUGUGUCCCUGGCUUCUUCUCUUCGCUGACGUCGGCCAACAUUCUUCCGCUGAAGACGAAUGAAUGCUCUUCUCAGAGCACGGGCGCCAUAAACAUCAGUUUUCCAUCCUGGCAGGAUGUCUCAAAUGAGUUACCGGCCAGGUGGUAUAUCCUCCCAUGGGCAGCCUGCCCUCAGAGCGCCGUGAGGGACAGGUGAGAGGCUUGCCUCAAACCACCCGCUGGGAUGUUGGAAUGGAUGGACACACGUGUGAAUUACUCAGUUUGAUCUAGCUUUUUUUAUUAAGAAAUAGCUGAAAAAAAUUAAUGUUAAACUUACUGUACACAACUCCAGGUCAUAUCCCAGCACCAUGUUUGUAAGUAUAAUUAGUAUGAGUAUGUUUCAUAUUACGGCGAUAAAUUCACCUGCGUUCAAUCAUAUUGCCACAAACUAACUGGCAGAAAAUGAACCUGGGGACUGGUUGGUAAUCCAGCGUGGGAGCACUAGUUGGACUAUGGUAUGAUGAAGCUGACAUGCUUGAUGUAUACAUUAAGGUUAAAGAUAAGAGAAUACAUACACAAUGUUAACAAAGUAGGGGGAAAAGGGUGGUAAAUAGAGGUCCAAAGGUAAGUUGUGCCCCGGGGACGUCAAGCUGAUUGAUUCGGCCCUGUAUGGAUCCGUAGAAGGAUAUAUAAGAUAUUUAAUGAAAGCAGAGAGUUAUUAUAUGCAAGGCAAUGGAUGUGCAUGCUCCCUUAACUUCUUUACUAUACACCUACUGAAUGGGCCUAGAGAAGUUUUAAAAAGUGUUCCCAGAGACUUCAAAAGAAAUCUCCAACUCGUCUCUCGGUAUAUCAAAGUCAAAUUAAAAUAUUUUACCUGCGAGAUCCCUGCUGUGAUGUUGGGGCAGAAGGGUCAAAUGGAUGUUGAGUGUUUAACUGCCACUCUGAGGUUUUGUGAAAUAUUCAGAAAGGCCAGCGGAAGACGGAUGUCUCCUUAUGCCCCCCUCUGGUGGCGUGGCAGGCAGGACGAAAGCGAGUGAUAGAGAGGUUACAACUGGCAAGAAUUUUAAAACAUCCAUUGGCCCUCAGGGACUCUGCAGACUUACAGCUCAAUAUAGAUGCAUUGGAUAGCGAGGGGAAAAUAAGGGCAAGAGCGAGCGGAAGAGGAGAGGAGGUGGUGGAUAGGGGAGGAAAAAAAAAGGAAGGGAGGGGAGUGAGAGAGGGAGAGGAGACGAGAGGAACAACAGGGAGAGAGGAGAGUAUAGGGCAAAUAUAUUAGAAGCAACAAAACAAAUAUUCAUUGAUUUACAAAUUCAAUCUCCUUUCUCUCUCGACUCCCGAGCACAAUGGGUGUUUUAGCGUAACCCCGCUGAAACACUGCAGUCUUUGAGCUUCUCUCUGGUUUAAAUCAGCAUUCAAAUUAAGCAAAUGGUAAAAACAAAUAUGCAUGUAGAGAAGGGUAUAAAAACGGAGAAGCAGGCUGAAAGACGUUUUCUCAAGUUCAGCCCUACGUACUUUUUAUGAUGUGUCUGUGCGCCUGGUGUGACUGUGUUGAACUGUGAUCAGCAAAUGUUAAAUCAGGCAAUUAAAUAUGAUGGGACACAGGUUUGUCACUUUCUACAUUACAUCCCUCAUUGUGAAACGGAAGUCCUCACAAUCAGAGUCUGUCACUGCCCAACUGGAAAGCACUGCUGCCCUCCUGAGGAUUGUAGUGUAACAGCAUUAAAUUGUGACCGGUCAGGCAAGUGAAAUGGGAGGGAAAAAAAGAAUGGUACGGUAUUUUUGGCUGUUGUUUUGAUGGUUAUUUGUUUUUCUGCAUUUUUGAUUUGAAGCAAUAAUUCACCCACAACGCUGACUUCAAUUCUGCUCGCCUCUCAUUUGAAUGUUACCUGCCUUCAUGUAAAUGUAGCCUAUAUACAACCUUUACCUCUCUG
This is a long non-coding RNA of Perca flavescens (yellow perch), 2931 nucleotides long. RefSeq lists it as uncharacterized. The record is from RefSeq and is a predicted model, not a curated record. Lineage: Eukaryota; Metazoa; Chordata; Actinopteri; Perciformes; Percidae. The transcript has 3 exons.